This 263-nucleotide long non-coding RNA is filed under the name Pan troglodytes (chimpanzee). RNAcentral's name for it is "long non-coding RNA NONPTRT001009". Lineage: Eukaryota; Metazoa; Chordata; Mammalia; Primates; Hominidae. The record is from RNAcentral.
ACCAAACUGGAGACAGUCCUGGCUCUGAGGAAACAAGAAGGAAGGAGGGUGAAAGGAAGGUCCACCUGCACACAAAGGAAAGAUGAAAAAGAAUCACCUACCAUGGGACCUGGCAAAGUACUUCAGAACUUUUAUUCCUUCCAGAAGCAGCUUUCCAAAGUUUGUACCUUUCUGGCUGGAACUUUCUCACAAACACAUCCAUGGAGAUCUUCACCAUGUCCUUUCUACAGGAGCACUGUCAGCAGGAACCAGAAGAGCACCAG